RNAcentral lists this ribosomal RNA (301 nucleotides) under uncultured bacterium. Its description in RNAcentral is "partial 16S ribosomal RNA". It matches the Rfam family "Bacterial small subunit ribosomal RNA", at positions 509 to 807 of the family's 1533-position model. The record is from RNAcentral.
CAGUAGCCGCGGGAAUACGAAGGGCGCGAGCGUUACCCGGAUUUACUGGGCGUAAAGGGCGUGUAGGUGGCCUGGGGCGUCCCAUGUGAAAGGCCACGGCUCAACCGUGGAGGAGCGUGGGAUACGCUCAGGCUAGAGGGUGGGAGAGGGUGGUGGAAUUCCCGGAGUAGCGGUGGAAUGCGCAGAUACCGGGAGGAACGCCGAUGGCGAAGGCAGCCACCUGGUCCACUUCUGACGCUGAGGCGCGAAAGCGUGGGGAGCAAACCGGAUUAGAUACCCCUGUAGUCCCUGUCUCUUAUAC